CCCAGGUCACAGUUUAUGCUCUUGCUGUGCCACCUUGAGAUCUCCAUAGAUGGUCGUGUACCUUUUAUAGUUCCACAGCUCCUCACGUUUGUUUAGUGCCUUCAAUAGAUUGACUUUUUUAUUUCCUCGGUAAGCGAGAGUUUGGGUUUUUCUUUCGUUUCCUAAUCCGCUCGCUCAGUUUUGCUGGAGCAUUUUCUAUUUUUCUCUCUUCAGAGAAGUUUUACGUUUCCAGGGUCGUCCCUGCGUUUUUUGUUGGACCAAUAAAAACUUCUACUGAACCUUAACUCUGCGUCCGAGUCCUCACCUCAAGACCCCCGUGACACGAUUCCACUUUACCAGCCACACAGCUUUAAAGGAUCAGGAAGCAUAUUUCAAACUGAUGACAAAAACAUGGCUUGAGUGGAAUGCCUGAAAAAAUGCUUGCUUUAUUUCUGCUGAUGUUGUGUUAAAAUGUGAAUUAAGCAAUAGGAGCACUAUUGGUUGGAGUACAAAGUAAAAAAAUGCAAUUCUAUGUGAGUGACGCAAAUAUCCUUGUUAAAUAUGUUAAAUGCUUGAAACCAAUGAAUUCUUCUAACUAGCCACGCCUGGUUGCAAAUAAACCUGCGCUGUUUCGUGGUGAAAUGUGCUACAAUAAAAUGUGACAAACUUUAUCUUUGCUGUUGACUAAAUACUGAGGCAGCAUUCCUUUAAACACACGUAAAGAUUCAGCAGCAGAGUGGCGCCGUUUGUGAUCUUGGCCGUGUGCAAACCUCAUUUGCCCACUGUUUAGACAUCCCAGUCGUCAAUCUUCAUAUUUUGAUAAAUAGCUGCAGGGGAGGGCGGGGGGGGCAGGCAUGUCAUAUUUCAUGAGUAGCCAAGUGGUGAGAGAAGGGGGCAUCUGUCCACCCUGCACAGGCUACUCCUCAAAUAUUAAUAAUGAUAAUGAGCAAAGGGCUGACCGGGGCACACAACACGCGUCCCCCUAUUAGAAUAACCCCUGAAACUAUGUCUCACACACACACACAUCCGCAGAUGCACUCAUGUGAAUGUGGACAUGUGACCAUGACAAUGUGACAGGCAAUAUGCACACAUAUGGGCCCGCAAAUGCAUGAAGGCCAACAAAGAUAAAGUGAUAAAGUGAGAGUGUGCAAACGCACACAAAUGGGACAGAUAUGCAAAUGCCCAAAGGGCAUUAGGAACCCGGGCAGAAGAUUCCCCUCUGACCAGAGAGCCCAUACUCUUCAUCAACGCCCGCCCCCCUCCUGCAUACCCUCCUGACCCAUGUCACAUAGAAUCAACCUCCCAGUCCAACACACACACUCCCUUCUUGUUCCACACACCACGUCCCCCCCACCAACACACGGUGUUUGUUUCUUCCAUGCAUCCACACACACACACAAUGAGACAUUCACCCCUGGACCCCGUCGGUCAUUAGUAUGGAGGUCUGUCUGUGUUUGUUUGGCUUCUAAUGGACCAUUUAAAUGCAGAAUAUUCACAGCAGAAAGGGCCAUCCUCGGGGACGGUGCACACAGAGGCCAGAAUAUGCUCUGGCUCCAUUAUCCUGGAGGAAGUUAUCCUUAUUAUCAUCACACAAUGCCGCGCUGACUGGCAAUGAGUUACAGCGCCCUGGCCCUCGGCUGACUCUCACUCGGGGCAGCGCAGUGAGCCGAGCGGGUUUGACCACCAGAGCUCACAGCACCUGCAACACUGACUCCUCAUUGUCAUCUACUUACGUUAUUUAUUUUCCUCUACGAAAGGUACAAUUUUGGACGUUUUCUUCUUUUGCAACAUGUACAGUACUUGCUAGAUCAGUCUCUGGAGUUCAAUGUGAUGUUUCACAGCGAUUUAAACAAUAAAGGAGUAGGAAAAUGCAAAGACAUUUCUGAGUGCUCUGAUUCUCAGGGGGAUUUUCUUUUCAUGUAAACACACGUGUAAUUGCAAAAUGUUUGCUUUCAGCAGUUCACCAUCCAACAAAUAUUCCUAAAUAAAAACAUUCAGGAAUGAGCCUUUGCAUAACUUCCAUUCCCAGGAUUACAGGAGAAGGAUUACACCAUAAAUAUAAUUCAAAUAAACGUUGAGCGUAUGCUACAGGGAGAUCUUUCUAUGAUAGAAAAAUAAACUCUACUGUCAAAUGGUGUCAUUUGUAUUUAUAAUACUUUUAUAUUUUUUAACGUUGUAAAAAGUGUCUGAGUGAGGGAGUAGGUGUUGCUGUCCACACAACUUCUUCCAGGGCAGAAUACGUCCAUUUCUCUCUCUGUCCUGCCUCAUGAAAAUGAAAAGGGACUUUGGCGUGAGGCCGAGCACAGUGCUAUGUAUAUUAGCAUUAUGUUUUAGUUUGAUAUGUGCAUCUGUAGAUUGUGUCUCAGGGUGUGUGUGUUCAGUCGGGUGCUACACAUAUGCCUGUAUGAGUGUGUAUUGUGAAUCAAUGCAUACGUCUGUGUGUGUAAACAAAGUGUGUAAAUAUGCAUAUACUGUACAUUUAAGCGUGUGUGUGUUCAGUGCUCUCUUGGGAGGCUGGUGGUGGUAGUGGAGAGGGGGAGGGCUGGAAAGAGGCUGCUGACACAGCGGGAGGCUACAGAUGUGGGGCUACGGAGCUGACAGGCCGGGCCCCUCUGGGCGUAUGUGUGCCAACCUCAACCCCUAUUGCUCUGCAGAACUUCUCUCUGCAGUGUGGGGGGCAACGUUGAGAUGGAGGGAGAGAAUCUACAGUCAAAAUGCAGAAAUGAGGAAAUACAAUUAACAAUCUGUAAUCCUCAUAUUUUAUUUUAUAUAUCAUCCGAGAGCAGUUGAUACAGGUACAUUGAAAAAAUAUAAAAAAUAAGUUGAUGCAAAGUUAACUUUGCAUCAAACGGGGCGACGCGGUGGCGUGGUGGUUAGCACUGCCGCCUCACAGCAAGACGGUCCUGGGUUCGACUCCUCCCAGUGGCCUUUCUGUGUGGAGUCUGCAUGUUCUCCCCGUGUCUGCGUGAGUUCUCUCCGGGUUCUCCGGCUUCCUCCCACAGUCCAAGGACAUGCUCUGUGGAUCAGGCUGAUUGGUAACUCUAAGUUGCCCGUGUGAAUGUGAGUGCAAAUGGUUGUAUGACUCUAUGACUGGCUGUGUUAGCCCUGUGAUUGGCUGGCGACCAGUCCAAGGUGUCCCCCGUCUCUCGUCCGAAGUUGGCUGGGAUUUACUCCAGCCCCCCCGCGACCCUGUGUGCAGGAUAAGCGCUUUGAAGAUGAUGGAUAGAAUAUACCGGUAGGCCAGCUGUAAGAGUAAUUCAAUAUUAUCCUGCAGGCCAAAGAUAAUUUCACUGUGGGCUUUGAGUUUGACAUGUGCAAAUAGAGCAUUGGCCAAAUCCUGAGAGUAUGAGACAAAAGGGUAUGCAGGAGAUUUUCAAUUGACAAGAAUCCCUGUCCAACCCAGUAAAGUGGAGAAAGAAGGUAAUAUUCCCAAGGGAGCUCUCAAGCUUAAGGCACAGUAUUACCAACAAAACAUUCCAGUAAAAAUCUUUGUUCAGAAGUUAAAGAAGAACAGAGCCAGAACAUAUGUAUAUGGUUGGCAGAGGUCACAGAUCGUCAGACACCCUUUUAAAUCUUACAUUGGUGUGGCUUGGUAUUUUAAAACCCUUAAACGUGGAGUGGAGAGGGAGCGCUGGGAACUGCAAGGUUGGCGGUCUAGGCCCUGGCUGCUCCAUGUCCCAUGUUGAAGUGUCCCUGAGCAAGACACCUAACCCUAAAAAUAAAAGUCAUGGGUUAAAAUGCAAUGUAAGUUGCCUUGGAUAAAAGCGUCAGCUAAAUGACCUGUAAUGUAGUAAAUGAUGCAUGAGCACAUGUAUAUUACUAUCUUAGUCUGCAUAAUGGGUUUUAUAUAUGUUUCCUGUGUGCAAAGCUGAAGAUCCCUUGCAGUGUGUCCAGAACACAGCAUUGUCUCUCUAUAAUAAGCCUGAGUUCACAGUGAAGUAUAUUGGUAAAGGAUGUACUUAAUACACACCGAGAGGUUUAUGUACUAAUGAAUCGAAACUUGCUAAGUUUAGCUCAUCCUUCAACAAAGUCAUUUCAAAUUAGUGUUAUAGACAUGACAGGUUGGGAAACUUCCGUUGUCAUGGUAAUUAACAGUACAUUGCAUUUAGUAUCAACUGAAAUACAACAGUACUGACAGCUGUUGAUGGCUCAGUAAUUAUAUCAAACAUUGUUGUUAGCAGUAAUGAUAUGAUGAUAACAGAACAGAAAGUUAUAGAAACUAAAUUUUGUACUGUUAUUUAACACCCCAGUUUUCCUGAAGACUCCUUCAUGUGGCUGAUUGCAGACCAGAGGCCACAGCUGUACUAGUUGAUUAGUAUAAUUACAGACUGUGUUACAAGGGGGCAAGAUUUGAGAUCAGAUAAGGAGUUGCAGUUAUCCAAAAACUGACACCAGUUUAGUAUUAUAAUAUACAUUGGAACUAACUAACUAACUAACUAACUAUGGUCUAGUCUUGCUGGACUUUCUAUGCAGCCUCUACAACAGCCGGUAGAACGUGAAAACUAUUACAAUGUGCAUGCCCAAUCAGUGUUAAUGGUAAUAGAAGCAAUACAUGAUUCUGCAAGAGCUUUUGACGAUCAGGGCACAUAACCACCCGUAGCUUCUGCCUCUGUCCACUUGUUGGCCGAUACACUAUUACUAGCUAAAUAUUGUGAUAUGAUAGGCAGAUGCAUUUUGGUGGCUUUAUCUGCUAUAAAAGCACGUAUGAGUCAAGUUUGUCCUGGCAGCUAACUCAGAGGCCCAACUGAUAAUCCAUCUUUUAGUUUUUUGCUUCUAUUUUUUAAACUUAAAUCACUGUCUCACAUAUGUAUUAGUACUAACACACAUCACCACACUCUACACUAUCUGGGGAUUAUUAAAAAAUAUAUGAAUAAUACAUGAGGAGUCUCUUUUCUCCCUUGGCUCCCACCAGUGCCUCUUAUUGGUUUUGGCACACCACCACUCAUUCACCCUCAGCCUGUCUGCCUGUCUAUGUAGAUGUGGGACCUAAACACAGGACACACCUCCAACAAUCAGACCUCCUUUUCCCUCAUAAAAAGUAGAUCAGUCCAGGCCCCGGACAACGGCAAUCACAUUAGCAAAGCCCUUUCUGAUGGAAACAGGCCAAGAUUGACGAGAAGGGCGACAUUUUGGGAUGCUCAAUCAAACACGUGAACAGAUGCAUAUUGUUGUCGCAAUGAGUCUUUCAAGGCUAGAAACCAUACUAAUAUUAAUAGUUUGUUGUCCUAGUUAGACCAACAAAUAUAUUUUUGUUGAGACUUUUGGAAAAAAAUGUCCUCAUUAGCGCAAGUUGACUAUUGCAACCCUGGCAAAAAAUUCACCCCACACUGUCUUGGGGUGGCAAAAGCCAGUCAGCGUUGUGAUGCUCUGCUGCCACUCACCAGAAAAAGAGGUGCUCCCCAGCUGAGAUUGAACGCCUGUAGUGGGGUCCAACCAAAAGAUCGUGGCACCGAUCUGAUGAACCCAAACACGAGGGCAUUUGCGGUUCUGACGUUUGUGGAAUUUCCACAACAAGCACCGAGCAGGAAUAGUGGGAAUUUCCAUGGUGAAUAGCAGAAAUGAUAAUAAAUUGCCACAGGGAUAAUCCACGGCCCCUUUCCAGGGCGAGUGAAGCGAAUGAUGCAGAUUAACCACAAAUAGUUGGGUAAGUAAACUCACGCAAGUAAAGUGUUGAACAAAUUUGCUUUGUUUUUAGUGUGAUUGUACCUUAAGAAUUGUAUUUGGUAACGGAUGUCACUGGUAAUUAAAAAAGAAAAAAGAUCCAUAUUAAGUUACCAAAGCAUAGUUAUAGGCAUUUUGCUCAAAUUUGUUGGGUACACCAAUUACCUCCGAUCUUCAACAAUAUUUUUAAUAUAUGAGUCAGCCUAGAAUUAUAUAGUAUCAACAUACAAAGGUCAUUGAGCACUAUACCAAUGCAGUGUCCUGCCUAACAUUACAGCUGCUCGAAGGGAGUUUAAACAAACAAUUAUGGGACCACUAGAGGGCUACUUCAAUAAAUAAAUAUAUAUAUACUGUAUAUGUAUAUUUCAAUCCGACGUGUUUGCAAUAAGCCAUUCAUCAAACACUCACUUUAUAGUCUACAUGGUUUUUUCAGCAACCAUCAUAAUCUUUGCUCAUUUACCUCAAUAAUAAUAGUCAUAAAAAGCUAUUCCCCUCCCUCACCUAGGACAGUCGGACAUUCUCUCAUUGUCCUAUUCAAGUAUACACAAAUCUUUAAAUGUUAGGAACUGUUGUUGGAACUUAAUCAUUUCUGUUGAAGGAGCGGCAUAGUCCAGUGUUCUAACUUAAACUUUUUCAACCAAUUCCUUGCUCUGAAUGAACAUAGUCGCCAACAUAACCUUGUCCGACCCGGGAAAGGGACAUAAGAAUGCUUAGGAAACGAAGCAUGGUCAUUCUAAAAUGUAAAUAGGGGGAUUUUUUCUCUGCCGAUGUGAGGGUUUCAGGACAGGGGGUGUCGCCUGGGUGCAGAGUGUAAAGCCCUCUGACAUCAAUUUUAAUUUUUAAUUUUGGGAAAUACAAUUAAAUGAAUUGAAUAGGAUAUACAAUAACUCUUUUUGAAGGGGAGAACGUUUCCCCCCUAAACAACUACUGAUAAGGAAAUAUUACACCUAACACGAUAUUAUAGGUAUGAUCAAAAAAUCAUUUAUAAUGAAUCCUAACGGUUUUUCACCCAGAUUACAGUCGCUUUAAAAAUUGCGCAGACAGAGUGAAAUACAAAUGAAAGAAACUUAACAAACCAUGAUCUGGAGAACCAUUACCUUAUAGUGGUGGAGAGUUUUGUGUGUUCCAAUGAACCUGAGGGUUGUGUUGUCUGGAGCCUUGUGCUCCAGCUAGGGUUACCGUUGGCAAAGUGGUCUCAGUCGAGGGGCCAGACUAAAGCCUAGUUUAUGCUUCUGCGUUUUCAGAGCAACGCAGACGCAAGACCCUCUUGCGUGUCCCUUGCGUCGCUUUUCACACCUCCUUGCGUCCUUGCGUGUGUCGAGCCAUUCUUCUAGGCUUGCGUCGGAAGCGACGCAAGCAACGCAAGCCUCCCGCAGCGCACCAGGCUGCGAUUGGUCCGCUAACUACGUCCUUUACGGAGUCUCACAUUUCCGCUUUCAUAGCCCGAUACUGCCAUUAUUAAAACGAAGAAUGUUUACGAGAGAACGGAUCAGAUUGAAGAACUUUUGUCGGAAGAAAUGCGUAAAUAUGAGCGCUUCUACAAGCCGUCAUUGGCGGGUUGUGGAAGCGGGUUGGAUUCACAGAGGGAGAUCGCCGCAAACGCUGGUUUG
Molecule: long non-coding RNA, 7250 nt
Organism: Gasterosteus aculeatus aculeatus (three-spined stickleback)
Lineage: Eukaryota; Metazoa; Chordata; Actinopteri; Perciformes; Gasterosteidae
Source: Ensembl